CNUACGGGAGGCAGCAGUGGGGAAUCUUGGACAAUGGGCGCAAGCCUGAUCCAGCCAUGCCGCGUGAGUGAUGAAGGCNUUAGGGUCGUAAAGCUCUUUCGCCAGAGAUGAUAAUGACAGUAUCUGGUAAAGAAACCCCGGCUAANUNNNNNNCAGCAGCCGCGGUAAUACGGAGGGGGUUAGCGUUGUUCGGAAUUACUGGGCGUAAAGCGCGCGUAGGCGGACUAGUCAGUCAGGGGUGAAAUCCCGGGGCUCAACCCCGGAACUGCCUUUGAUACUGCUAGUCUAGAGUUCGAGAGAGGUGAGUGGAAUUCCGAGUGUAGAGGUGAAAUUCGUAGAUAUUCGGAGGAACACCAGUGGCGAAGGCGGCUCACUGGCUCGAUACUGACGCUGAGGUGCGAAAGUGUGGGGAGCAAACAGGAUUAGAUACCNUGGUAGUCCACACCGUAAACGAUGAAUGCCAGUCGUCGGGUAGCNNNNNNNUCGGUGACACACCUAACG
RNAcentral lists this ribosomal RNA (501 nucleotides) under bacterium enrichment culture clone OB16. RNAcentral's name for it is "partial 16S ribosomal RNA". It matches the Rfam family "Bacterial small subunit ribosomal RNA", at positions 338 to 857 of the family's 1533-position model. The record is from RNAcentral.